CCUACGGGGGGCUGCAGUGGGGAAUAUUGGACAAUGGGGGGAACCCUGAUCCAGCCAUGCCGCGUGUGUGAAGAAGGCCCUCGGGUUGUAAAGCACUUUCAGUGAGGAAGAACGCCUGGUGGUUAAUACCCAUCAGGAAAGACAUCACUCACAGAAGAAGCACCGGCUAACUCCGUGCCAGCAGCCGCGGUAAUACGGAGGGUGCGAGCGUUAAUCGGAAUUACUGGGCGUAAAGCGCGCGUAGGUGGCUUGAUAAGCCGGUUGUGAAAGCCCCGGGCUCAACCUGGGAACGGCAUCCGGAACUGUCAAGCUAGAGUGCAGGAGAGGAAGGUAGAAUUCCCGGUGUAGCGGUGAAAUGCGUAGAGAUCGGGAGGAAUACCAGUGGCGAAGGCGGCCUUCUGGACUGACACUGACACUGAGGUGCGAAAGCGUGGGUAGCACACAGGAUUAGAUACCCCGGUAGUC
This 465-nucleotide ribosomal RNA is filed under the name Vreelandella stevensii. RNAcentral describes it as "partial 16S ribosomal RNA". It matches the Rfam family "Bacterial small subunit ribosomal RNA", at positions 338 to 795 of the family's 1533-position model. The record is from RNAcentral. Lineage: Bacteria; Pseudomonadati; Pseudomonadota; Gammaproteobacteria; Oceanospirillales; Halomonadaceae.